RNAcentral lists this ribosomal RNA (460 nucleotides) under uncultured bacterium. RNAcentral describes it as "partial 16S ribosomal RNA". It matches the Rfam family "Bacterial small subunit ribosomal RNA", at positions 338 to 795 of the family's 1533-position model. The record is from RNAcentral.
CCUACGGGUGACAGCAGUGGGGAAUAUUGGUCAAUGGGCGUAAGCCUGAACCAGCGAAGUCGCGUGAGUGAUGAAGGUUCUAUGGAUGGUAAGCCUCUUUUAUAGGGGAGUAAAGUAUGGGACGUGUCCUAUUUUGUAUGUACCUUAUGAAUAAGGAUCGGCUAACUCCGUGCCAGCAGCCGCGGUAAUCCGGAGGAUCCGAGCGUUAUCCGGAUUUAUUGGGUUUAACGGGUGCGUAGGCGGCAGUUUAAGUCCGCGGUGAAAUUCUGUGGCCCAACCAUAGAAUUGCCGUUGAAACUGGGGGGCUUGAGUAUGUGUGAGGCAGGCGGAAUGCGUGGUGUAGCGGUGAAAUGCUUAGAUAUCACGCAGAACCCCGAUUGCGAAGGCAGCCUGCCAAGCUAUGACUGACGCUGAUGCACGAAAGCGUGGGGAUCAAACAGGAUUAGAUACCCUUGUAGUC